Molecule: ribosomal RNA, 376 nt
Filed under: uncultured bacterium
Lineage: Bacteria
Description: bacterial SSU rRNA
Rfam family: Bacterial small subunit ribosomal RNA
Source: RNAcentral
UAAUACGGGGGGAGCAAGCGUUGUUCGGAUUUACUGGGCGUAAAGGGCGCGUAGGCGGCCAGCACAAGUCAGUUGUGAAAUCUCCGAGCUUAACUCGGAAAGGUCAACUGAUACUGUGCGGCUAGAGUGCAGAAGGGGCAACUGGAAUUCUCGGUGUAGCGGUGAAAUGCGUAGAUAUCGAGAGGAACACCUGCGGCGAAGGCGGGUUGCUGGGCUGACACUGACGCUGAGGCGCGAAAGCUAGGGGAGCGAACGGGAUUAGAUACCCUGGUAGUCCACGCCGUAAACGAUGGAUGCUAGCCGUUGGCAGGCUUGCCUGUCAGUGGCGCAGCUAACGCAUUAAGCAUCCCGCCUGGGGAGUACGGUCGCAAGAUUA